UUUACAAUGAAUGGUUCAUUCCCUAUCCAAGAAUUAAAGAAUUUGAAGAAUUUAACAUUAUUGGAUAUAAGUGUUAACCGUUUCAAUGGCACCCUAUCAUUUAAAGAAUUGAAGAACUUGAAGAAUUUAACAUUCUUGGAUAUAAGUGAUAAUCGUUUCAACGGCAUCCUAUCAUUUAAAGGUAAACUUUAAAUCCCUUAUCUUUAUAUUUAUAAAUUGAUUUUUUUUUUAAAAAAAAAUAAAUUUCUCAAAUGUUUUUAUAUAUGAUUUUACAAAACUAUGUAUAAAC
Molecule: long non-coding RNA, 289 nt
Organism: Manihot esculenta (cassava)
Lineage: Eukaryota; Viridiplantae; Streptophyta; Magnoliopsida; Malpighiales; Euphorbiaceae
Exons: 3
Source: RefSeq, a predicted model, not a curated record